GUGUACUACCGUUACAGGCUCUAC
Molecule: non-coding RNA, 24 nt
Filed under: Arabidopsis thaliana (thale cress)
Lineage: Eukaryota; Viridiplantae; Streptophyta; Magnoliopsida; Brassicales; Brassicaceae
Source: RNAcentral